CUUAGAGUUUGAUUCCUGGCUCAGGAUGAACGCUAGCGGGAGGCCUAAUACAUGCAAGUCGAGGGGCAGCAGGUUUUAAUUUCGGUUAAAAUGCUGGCGACCGGCGCACGGGUGAGUAACGCGUACGUAACCUACCUCUAAGUGGGGAAUAGCCCCGGGAAACUGGGAUUAAUGCCCCAUAGUAUUGACUGAGCGCAUGCUUGGUCAAUUAAAGCUCAGGCGCUUAGAGAUGGACGUGCGUCCUAUUAGGUAGUUGGUAGGGUAAUGGCCUACCAAGCCAACGAUAGGUAGGGGGCGUGAGAGCGUGACCCCCCACACGGGUACUGAGACACGGACCCGACUCCUACGGGAGGCAGCAGUAAGGAAUAUUGGACAAUGGGCGCAAGCCUGAUCCAGCCAUCCCGCGUGCAGGAUGAAGGCCCUAUGGGUUGUAAACUGCUUUUAUCUGGGAAGAAAAGCCUUGAUUUAUCAGGGUGUCUGACAUACCAGAGGAAUAAGCACCGGCAA
RNAcentral lists this ribosomal RNA (507 nucleotides) under uncultured bacterium. Its description in RNAcentral is "bacterial SSU rRNA". It matches the Rfam family "Bacterial small subunit ribosomal RNA", at positions 1 to 499 of the family's 1533-position model. The record is from RNAcentral.